This 912-nucleotide ribosomal RNA is filed under the name Rhizoctonia solani. RNAcentral's name for it is "eukaryotic LSU rRNA". The stretch from base 364 to 517 matches the Rfam family "5.8S ribosomal RNA". Lineage: Eukaryota; Fungi; Basidiomycota; Agaricomycetes; Cantharellales; Ceratobasidiaceae. The record is from RNAcentral.
AUACGUGCAACAGAGCGUCACCGAGAUGCCACAGUCACAUAAAUCACAACAAAAAGCAAAAAAAAGCUUUCUUCAGUAUAGGUUUCUUUGGAAGUAAAAGUCGUAACAAGGUUUACUCAUAGCUGAACAUGAGGAAGGAUCAUUAUUGAAAUUUUAUUAAUGAGGAGUUGAGUUGUUGCUGGCCUUUCUACCUUAAUUUGGCGGGAGGCAUGUGCACACCUUCUCUUUCAUCCAUUCACACCCCUGUGCACUUGUGAGACAGCAAUGGUGGUGGAUUUAAUUCCACCCAUUUGCUGUCUACUUAAUCUACACACACUCUAUUUAAUUUAAACUGAAUGUAAUUGAUGUAACGCAUCUAAUACUAAGUUUCAACAACGGAUCUCUUGGCUCUCGCAUCGAUGAAGAACGCAGCGAAAUGCGAUAAGUAAUGUGAAUUGCAGAAUUCAGUGAAUCAUCGAAUCUUUGAACGCACCUUGCGCUCCUUGGUAUUCCUUGGAGCAUGCCUGUUUGAGUAUCAUGAAAUCUUCAAAGUAAACCUUUUGUUAAUUCAAUUGGUCUUUUUACUUUGGUUUUGGAGGAUAUUAUUGCAGCUUCACACCUGCUCCUCUUUGUGCAUUAGCUGGAUCUCAGUGUUAUGCUUGGUUCCACUCGGCGUGAUAAGUUAUCUAUAGCUGAGGACACCCGUAAAAAAGGUGGCCAAGGUAAAUCCAGAUGAACGCGCUUCUAAUAGUCCAUUUACUUGGACAGUAUUAUAUUUUAUGAUCUGAUCUCAAAUCUAGGUAGAUGUGCACGUACCAGUCUUUGAACUUAAGCAUAUCAAUAAGCGGAGGAAGGGUAAGGGAGAGAGUUGUAAUGUGUGCAUAUUCAUAGACAAUUUUCUCUUGCUAUCUUAAUCUGUUCUCUAUGUCUUUU